UAUUUCCUGCGGUGUUCGAGAUUUAUCGCAGAACUUUCGACCCUAAUUAACAACUUCGGGGUACGGCUCUGUCGGCGUUAUUGAGCACGUCUGUUGCCAGAAAGCCUACGAUGUCACGACAUACCCCACUUAUUGCUCCGGAUCGAGAGCAACGGUAAGUCACGGCACAGGCGGGAAAUGC
RNAcentral lists this non-coding RNA (181 nucleotides) under Gammaproteobacteria bacterium. RNAcentral describes it as "6S RNA". It matches the Rfam family "6S / SsrS RNA". Rfam says of the family: E. coli 6S RNA was the first non coding RNA to be sequenced, but its function was unknown until recently. It consists of 184 nucleotides that fold into an extended hairpin structure with a large single-stranded internal bulge. The record is from RNAcentral. Lineage: Bacteria; Pseudomonadati; Pseudomonadota; Gammaproteobacteria.